CUUGGGUUCUGGGUCAUGACGGUACAAAAAUCACACACAAGCUGAAAAGCAGACUGUAGAAGUAGACACCCUAGAAUAUUUCUGAUCAUGCCUACAGCUAAGACCCCCCACAGAGCAGAGGUAACUGUCACUCAUUUGCAUGAGGUUUCACUUCCCACAUCAUUAAAAGCUGCUCUCUCUAUUCGCACUUGAUCAUCACAACAACCUUUAGGCACGUACCUACAUGACAAGUUGACAUUUUUAUAGCAAUUUGACACUCCUACAACAUGAUUCACAUAUUUCAAAUAUUUUCUUUUGUGAUCUUGUGCAUCUCCGGUUCUCUGGGGAUCGUCACAGUAGACCAGUCUCCUGCUGUCAUCAAUGCCCAACCCCAGGGCACUGUGAAGAUUCUUUGUCGAGCCUCGGAGGACAUUGGAAGUGACAUGUCUCUCCACCAGUUCAAACCUGGGCAAGCUCCAAAAGGUCUAAUGUACUACAGUACAAUUAGGGUUUCAGGCACCCCAGAGCGUUUCAGUGGCUCUCUGAGUGGGGCUCUGACCACCUUCACCAUCAGUGGAGUUCAGAUAGAGGAUGAGGCUGUCUAUUACUGCCAGCAGAGCGAUCAGUUCCCGCUCACACAGUGAAAUAUCACCGUACAAAAACCUCCUGCUCCUCUCUCUGCUUCACUAAUCAUUUUGCGUUCUGAUAGUUUGCAGUUUCUCAAUCAACAUUUCUUGAGCCCCAUAGAAAUAUUCGAGACAAUUUAGACCUGCACUAAAAGCUGUUUCACCAUGUUUAGCUCUGACAGUAGGUAUUACCAACAGAUUGUUCACUAGUGAUCUGAGAGGUCUAGCAGGUGUGUAUAACUGAAACAUAUAUGAGAGGUAAGUUGGUCCUGUCCCCUUCAGUAAUCUAUAAACAAGCAGUAGGGCUUUAAGGUCAAUUAUGUGACUUACUGGAGGAGAGUGAGAAGACUUGAGUAUUAGGAUUAGUAUUAAGGGUUAGUAUUAGUGGAUGGUUCUUUUCUUUUUGGUAAGAUCUCUAGCUGUUACAUUUUAUACUGGCUGAGGCUGUUUGAAGCUGUUACAAUACAUUGUUGAAUAUUAAACCAUUGUUUUCCAACCUGUUUGGCUUCUGACAUCUAACAAAAAGCAGUGUGUAGUUGGGGACACAUUUCAG
Clupea harengus (Atlantic herring) is the source of this 1158-nucleotide non-coding RNA. NCBI's taxonomy places the organism in Eukaryota, Metazoa, Chordata, Actinopteri, Clupeiformes, Clupeidae. The record is from the annotation of a RefSeq genome assembly.